UACGGGGGGGGCAAGCGUUGUUCGGAAUUACUGGGCGUAAAGGGCUCGUAGGUGGCCAACUAAGUCAGACGUGAAAUCCCUCGGCUUAACCGGGGAACUGCGUCUGAUACUGGAUGGCUUGAGUUUGGGAGAGGGAUGCGGAAUUCCAGGUGUAGCGGUGAAAUGCGCAGAUAUCAGGAAGAACACCCGUGGCGAAGGCGGCUCUCUGGGACGGUACUGACGCUGAGACGCGAAAGCGUGGGGAGCGAACAGG
RNAcentral lists this ribosomal RNA (253 nucleotides) under uncultured bacterium. RNAcentral describes it as "partial 16S ribosomal RNA". It matches the Rfam family "Bacterial small subunit ribosomal RNA", at positions 524 to 776 of the family's 1533-position model. The record is from RNAcentral.